UCCUGAAUUACACGUAAGUACUCUUCUAGACAUUACAGUUUUGACCGAACAACAAUUAAAAGGGAGUUCAAAUUUUAACUUGGCAAACAAGCCCUGGACGCUGAGGGAAGUUUAAAAAGUUAAUGAGAGCACCCACCUGCAAGGGUAGUGGGUUCAAAACAACAAGGGUUACGGUAUUAUCGGGAU
Molecule: non-coding RNA, 186 nt
Filed under: Ureibacillus endophyticus
Lineage: Bacteria; Bacillati; Bacillota; Bacilli; Caryophanales; Caryophanaceae
Description: 6S / SsrS RNA
Rfam family: 6S / SsrS RNA
About the family: E. coli 6S RNA was the first non coding RNA to be sequenced, but its function was unknown until recently. It consists of 184 nucleotides that fold into an extended hairpin structure with a large single-stranded internal bulge. The 6S RNA specifically associates with RNA polymerase holoenzyme containing the sigma70 specificity factor.
Source: RNAcentral